This 514-nucleotide ribosomal RNA is filed under the name uncultured bacterium. Its description in RNAcentral is "partial 16S ribosomal RNA". It matches the Rfam family "Bacterial small subunit ribosomal RNA", at positions 28 to 523 of the family's 1533-position model. The record is from RNAcentral.
GACGAACGCUGGCGGCGUGCCUAAUACAUGCAAGUCGAGCGAACCCGGGGUGCUUGCACCCUGAGGGUUAGCGGCGGACGGGUGAGUAACACGUGGGGAACCUGCCUUGCUGUCUGGGAUAACACCGGGAAACCGGUGCUAAUACCGGAUGUCCGCUUUCCGGCACCUGCCGGAGAGGGAAAAGGCGGCGUUGAGCCGCCGCAGCACGAGGGGCCCGCGGCGCAUUAGUUAGUUGGCAGGGUAACGGCCUCCCAAGGCGACGAUGCGUAGCCGACCUGAGAGGGUGAUCGGCCACACUGGGACUGAGACACGGCCCAGACUCCUACGGGAGGCAGCAGUAGGGAAUCAUCCGCAAUGGACGAAAGUCUGACGGUGCAACGCCGCGUGAGUGAUGAAGGUUUUCGGAUCGUAAAGCUCUGUUGUGAGGGAAGAAUAGGAUGGGGAGGAAAUGCCCGAUCUGUGACGGUACCUCACCAGAAAGCCCCGGCUAACUACGUGCCAGCCGCCGCGGUAA